RNAcentral lists this ribosomal RNA (655 nucleotides) under uncultured Bacilli bacterium. RNAcentral's name for it is "bacterial SSU rRNA". It matches the Rfam family "Bacterial small subunit ribosomal RNA", at positions 49 to 689 of the family's 1533-position model. The record is from RNAcentral. Lineage: Bacteria; Bacillati; Bacillota; Bacilli.
UAAUACAUGCAAGUAGAACGCUGAAGGAGGAGCUUGCUCUUCUGGAUGAGUUGCGAACGGGUGAGUAACGCGUAGGUAACCUGCCUGGUAGCGGGGGAUAACUAUUGGAAACGAUAGCUAAUACCGCACAACAGUAGAUGUUGCAUGACAUUUGCUUAAAAGGUGCAAUUGCAUCACUACCAGAUGGACCUGCGUUGUAUUAGCUAGUUGGUGGGGUAACGGCUCACCAAGGCGACGAUACAUAGCCGACCUGAGAGGGUGAUCGGCCACACUGGGACUGAGACACGGCCCAGACUCCUACGGGAGGCAGCAGUAGGGAAUCUUCGGCAAUGGACGGAAGUCUGACCGAGCAACGCCGCGUGAGUGAAGAAGGUUUUCGGAUCGUAAAGCUCUGUUGUAAGAGAAGAACGAGUGUGAGAGUGGAAAGUUCACACUGUGACGGUAUCUUACCAGAAAGGGACGGCUAACUACGUGCCAGCAGCCGCGGUAAUACGUAGGUCCCGAGCGUUGUCCGGAUUUAUUGGGCGUAAAGCGAGCGCAGGCGGUUAGAUAAGUCUGAAGUUAAAGGCUGUGGCUUAACCAUAGUACGCUUUGGAAACUGUUUAACUUGAGUGCAAGAGGGGAGAGUGGAAUUCCAUGUGUAGCGGUGAAAUGC